Poecilia latipinna (sailfin molly) is the source of this 777-nucleotide long non-coding RNA. RefSeq lists it as uncharacterized. The record is from RefSeq and is a predicted model, not a curated record. The transcript has 3 exons. Lineage: Eukaryota; Metazoa; Chordata; Actinopteri; Cyprinodontiformes; Poeciliidae.
UCGACGUACUCUGCAGCGGUAGAUGAUACAUGGCAACUGCGUCGUGAAGACAGCUUUGCUGAAGCGGGACGGUGAAGGACGGCUGUUAGACGCAGCAGCAUGUUAUUACGCUGUAUUUAUCGUAUGCGGUUUCAUCGAGGCAUUAUAGGCACAUUAAAAUUUUCCAGAAUUGCUUUGGGCAAGUUGUAUUCUAAUUCAUCCAGCUUAAACAAACAGGCUAUUUAAAGGACAUCAGCCUAACAUAAGCUGCUUUAUUUUGAGUGAACGAAGACGGUAUAAAUAGACUUUGAAUAGUGCAACAAGUAAAUGCUUCAUGUGAAAUGGCUGGCGUUACAUCAUUGCCUGUGAGAGUGAAGUUCUGGAGAGGCACUGGGCUCUUUGGGCCAGCCAUUAUGCAGAGAAAAGCUGUCAACAUGAAGCAGAAUCCACUUAAACAUAUAAAGGAUAAGGAGGAGAAAAUUAACUAAAGACGACUAAUGCCCCCCAGUAGGUGGACAAAGUCAACGAUGCUGGGGUUUUUAUAUGAUAAGACAAAUGCAUCACUGCUGCCCUACAACGGUCUUUUAGCGUCUGGAAAAAAAAAGAAAAAGAUGUUUGUUUCGACCAGAAAAAUCAGCGUAAUAGUAAGGUGUUUCUCCACAAAGACAGCCAGAGGUCUGUGUGGAUCCUGCCGGUAAUGUAGCGUCCACCGUGCGGUUUGCACUGCAACUCAUCAUUACUGCUGGCUUGAGUUGGCGCUGCCGAAAUGACUUGUAUAAAAUAUCUGUCCUGCUCUAA